GGCGUUUCUUUCCUGCAGUAAACCUGGGCAGAGAGUAGAAAACACUGCAUUGAAGGCGGCAAAAGAAGCGAAAACUCAGUGAGUUAAAGCUUGAACCAUAAUGCUCUUUUUAUUAUAAUCGUUAUUAUGCACGAACGCCGGAAAUAUUUUUCACGGUAAUGCUUUGCUUCUCUCAAAUUUGAUGUAUUAUGCUAUGUACAGAAUUUUUACUUGUUUUCCAGGUUGAGGAAGAUGUAGAAGACUCUAACUGUGGCCAUUUUUCAAAUUAAGGGUUUUUUCUGUUUGUUGUUUUCAGAUAUAUUAGAUAUUUCUGAGGGAUGUCUGUGGAAGCUGGUUCAAGGAAUAGCAAUAAUAAGUUUAGGAAGAAAGUGAAAGUUGCUACUGGAAAAUUCAAGGGCUCGAAAGAUGGUGUCGGGGUCGUAGAGUUGAAGGAAAAGAGUAGCAAAAAGGUACAAAGUAGAGGAAGUAAAAAUGGGGAUACAUUUUAUGUUGAUAUGAAUAAGAAAACAAGUAAAGAAGGUGUGGGAAGAAAAAGGAAUUUGAAAUUGAAAUAUGAAGACAAAGAAGGGGUGGGAAGCAAAAGGAACUGGAAAUCAAGAAAUGGAGACAAAGGGUGUGAAGCUGUGAUUGAGG
RNAcentral lists this long non-coding RNA (633 nucleotides) under Olea europaea subsp. europaea. The record is from RNAcentral. Lineage: Eukaryota; Viridiplantae; Streptophyta; Magnoliopsida; Lamiales; Oleaceae.